This 491-nucleotide ribosomal RNA is filed under the name uncultured bacterium. RNAcentral describes it as "partial 16S ribosomal RNA". It matches the Rfam family "Bacterial small subunit ribosomal RNA", at positions 29 to 506 of the family's 1533-position model. The record is from RNAcentral.
AGUGAACGCUGGCGGUAGGCCUAACACAUGCAAGUCGAACGGCAGCACAGUAAGAGCUUGCUCUUACGGGUGGCGAGUGGCGGACGGGUGAGGAAUACAUCGGAAUCUACUUUUUCGUGGGGGAUAACGUAGGGAAACUUACGCUAAUACCGCAUACGACCUACGGGUGAAAGCAGGGGAUCUUCGGACCUUGCGCGAUUGAAUGAGCCGAUGUCGGAUUAGCUCGUUGGCGGGGUAAAGGCCCACCAAGGCGACGCUCCGUAGCUGGUCUGAGAGGAUGAUCAGCCACAGUGGAACUGAGACACGGUCCAGACUCCGACGGGAGGCAGCAGUGGGGAAUAUUGGACAAUGGGCGCAAGCCUGAUCCAGCCAUACCGCGUGGGUGAAGAAGGCCUUCGGGUUGUAAAGCCCUUUUGUUGGGAAAGAAAAGCAGCAGGUUAAUACCCCGCUGUUCGGACGGUACCCAAAGAAUAAGCACCGGCUAACUUCGU